Molecule: small nucleolar RNA, 71 nt
Filed under: Tupaia belangeri (northern tree shrew)
Lineage: Eukaryota; Metazoa; Chordata; Mammalia; Scandentia; Tupaiidae
Description: Small nucleolar RNA SNORD112 (ENSTBEG00000021055.1)
Source: RNAcentral
UUGACCAGUGAUGGAAUUUAUUUUGAAUGAAAAAUGAUGAAUAAUCCAAUUCAGCACAACUGACUUCAUUA